Molecule: unclassified non-coding RNA, 288 nt
Filed under: Hevea brasiliensis (rubber tree)
Lineage: Eukaryota; Viridiplantae; Streptophyta; Magnoliopsida; Malpighiales; Euphorbiaceae
Source: RNAcentral
AUAAUGCAUUCACAUUGGUAUCUGGGAGGAGCAAUAGCUCCUGCACUAUCUCCACUCGCUUUUUCCUCGUGGCGACGUGCAGUGCAGUGUUACCGAAUUUAUCAGGAAGCAUAACAAUGGCAGGAUCUGCAUCAAGGAGCAACUUCACGACAUCACGACUCUGCCCUUUGACAGCCAUGUGCAGUGCAGUUUGGCCCUUCUUAUCAUUUCUUCGUGCUAGCUGUUGAUCUUUGCUGAGUAAUAGCUUUACAAUUUCAGUAUGGCCAGGGCGCACAGCAAAAUGCAAUG